RNAcentral lists this ribosomal RNA (798 nucleotides) under uncultured Fibrobacter sp. Its description in RNAcentral is "bacterial SSU rRNA". It matches the Rfam family "Bacterial small subunit ribosomal RNA", at positions 163 to 965 of the family's 1533-position model. Lineage: Bacteria; Pseudomonadati; Fibrobacterota; Fibrobacteria; Fibrobacterales; Fibrobacteraceae. The record is from RNAcentral.
UUAAUGUCCAGGAGAGUGGCCAGCUGCAUGGCUGGUUGACUAGAGAUUUAUCGGUAUGGGAUGAGCUUGCGUCCGAUUAGCUAGUUGGCGGGGCAACGGCCCACCAAGCCGACGAUCGGUAGCCGGCCUGAGAGGGUGAUCGGCCACAUUGGGACUGAGAUACGGCCCAGACUCCUACGGGAGGCAGCAGUAGGUAAUAUUGCACAAUGGGGGAAACCCUGAUGCAGCAACGCCACGUGUGGGAAGAAGCAUUUCGGUGUGUAAACCACUGUCAUGAGGGAAUUAGGCCCUUAUUCGUAAGGGAUUGAAUGUACCUUGAGAGGAAGCACCGGCAAACUUCGUGCCAGCAGCCGCGGUAAUACGAGGGGUGCAAGCGUUGUUCGGAAUCACUGGGCGUAAAGGGAGCGUAGGCGGAGAUUCAAGCGGAUUGUACAAUCCCGGGGCCCAACCCCGGACCUGCAGUCCGAACUGGGUUUCUUGGAUAGUUCAGGGGCAAGCGGAAUUCCUGGUGUAGCGGUGGAAUGCGUAGAGAUCAGGAAGAACACCGAUGGCGAAGGCAGCUUGCUGGGGACUUAUCGACGCUCAUGCUCGAAAGUGCGGGUAGCAAACAGGAUUAGAUACCCUGGUAGUCCGCACCGUAAACGAUGCAUACUGGGUGUCCGCGGUUCGCCGCGGGUACCGAAGCCAACGCGUUAAGUAUGCCGCCUGGGGAGUACGUACGCAAGUAUGAAACUCAAAGGAAUUGACGGGGGCCCGCACAAGCGGUGGAGCAUGUGGUUUAAUUCGAAGCAACGCGCA